CAGUCGCCGCGGGGAUACGUAGGGUGCGAGCGUUAAUCGGAAUUACUGGGCGUAAAGCGUGCGCAGGCGGUUCGUUAAGUCUGUUGUGAAAGCCCCGGGCUCAACCUGGGAAUGGCAAUGGAUACUGGCGAGCUAGAGUGUGUCAGAGGAUGGUGGAAUUCCCGGUGUAGCGGUGAAAUGCGUAGAGAUCGGGAGGAACAUCAGUGGCGAAGGCAGCCCCCUGGGCCAACACUGACGCUCAUGCACGAAAGCGUGGGGAGCAAACAGGAUUAGAUACCCCCGUAGUCCCUGUCUCUUAUAC
Molecule: ribosomal RNA, 301 nt
Filed under: uncultured bacterium
Lineage: Bacteria
Description: partial 16S ribosomal RNA
Rfam family: Bacterial small subunit ribosomal RNA
Source: RNAcentral